UAUGCGGGCCGGACGGUCGCGGGCGCCUUUUCGGCGCGUGAGGAAAGUCCGGGCUUCAAGAGACAGGAUGCCGGCUAACGGCCGGGCGGGGAAACCCGACGGAAAGUGCUGCAGAAAAGGAAACUCCCCUGCGAUCCCUUCGGGGAUGCGGCAUCUCGGCGCCGGCAGGAGAAAAGCUGAGAAGGUGCGGUAAGAGCGCACCAGCGCAUCGGUAACGGUGCGGCUUGGUAAACCCCAUCCGAAGCAAGGGCGAAUAGGCAUGCGAUACGGUCGUCUCUCCGUGCAUGCGGGUAGCCUGCUCGAGGCGCUUCGGCGCCCUAGAUAAAUGGCCGUCUUCAAAGACAGAACCCGGCUUACAGGCCCGCUACGGC
Molecule: RNase P RNA, 371 nt
Filed under: Slackia sp.
Lineage: Bacteria; Bacillati; Actinomycetota; Coriobacteriia; Eggerthellales; Eggerthellaceae
Description: RNase P RNA component class A
Rfam family: Bacterial RNase P class A
About the family: Ribonuclease P (RNase P) is a ubiquitous endoribonuclease, found in archaea, bacteria and eukarya as well as chloroplasts and mitochondria.
Source: RNAcentral